This 453-nucleotide ribosomal RNA is filed under the name uncultured Porphyromonadaceae bacterium. Its description in RNAcentral is "bacterial SSU rRNA". It matches the Rfam family "Bacterial small subunit ribosomal RNA", at positions 341 to 792 of the family's 1533-position model. Lineage: Bacteria; Pseudomonadati; Bacteroidota; Bacteroidia; Bacteroidales; Porphyromonadaceae. The record is from RNAcentral.
ACGGAAGGCAGCAGUGAGGAAUAUUGGUCAAUGGGCGAGAGCCUGAACCAGCCAAGUCGCGUGAAGGAUGAAGGUUCUAUGGAUUGUAAACUUCUUUUGUUCGAGGGUAAAGUGAGGGAUGCGUCCCUUAUUGCAAGUAUCGAACGAAUAAGCAUCGGCUAACUCCGUGCCAGCAGCCGCGGUAAUACGGAGGAUGCGAGCGUUAUCCGGAUUUAUUGGGUUUAAAGGGUGCGUAGGCGGGAUGUUAAGUCAGCGGUGAAAGCGCGUAGCUCAACUAUACCAAGCCGUUGAAACUGGCGUUCUUGAGUGUAAACGAGGUAGGCGGAAUGUGACGUGUAGCGGUGAAAUGCUUAGAUAUGUCACAGAACCCCGAUUGCGAAGGCAGCUUACCAGCAUACAACUGACGCUGAGGCACGAAAGUGCGGGGAUCAAACAGGAUUAGAUACCCUGGUA